CCUACGGGUGGCAGCAGUGAGGAAUAUUGGUCAAUGGGCGCGAGCCUGAACCAGCCAAGUCGCGGGAGGGAGGACGGCCCUACGGGUUGUAAACCUCUUUUGCCGGGGAGCAACGGGCGUCACGUGUGGCGCCACUGAGUGUACCCGGAGAAAACGCAUCGGCUAACUCCGUGCACGCAGCCGCGGUAAUACGGAGGAUGCGAGCGUUAUCCGGCUUUCUUGGGUUAAAAGGGUGCGUAGGCGGAUCGUUAAGUCUGUGGUCAAAUUGAGGGGCUCAACCCCUUCCCGCCAUUGAAACUGGCGCUCUUGAGUGGAAGAGAAGUAUGCGGAAUGCGUGGUGUAGCGGUGAAAGGCAUAGAUAUCACGCAGAACCCCGAUUGCGAAGGCAGCAUGCCGGCUUCCGACUGACGCUGAAGCACGAAAGCGUGGGGAUCGAACAGGAUUAGAUACCCUGGUAGUC
Molecule: ribosomal RNA, 460 nt
Filed under: uncultured bacterium
Lineage: Bacteria
Description: partial 16S ribosomal RNA
Rfam family: Bacterial small subunit ribosomal RNA
Source: RNAcentral